RNAcentral lists this unclassified non-coding RNA (327 nucleotides) under soil metagenome. RNAcentral describes it as "partial contains 5.8S ribosomal RNA, internal transcribed spacer 2, and large subunit ribosomal RNA". The stretch from base 5 to 119 matches the Rfam family "5.8S ribosomal RNA", at positions 40 to 154 of the family's 154-position model. The record is from RNAcentral.
GAUGAGAACGCAGCGAAAUGCGAUAAGUAAUGUGAAUUGCAGAAUUCAGUGAAUCAUCGAAUCUUUGAACGCACAUUGCGCCCCUUGGUAUUCCGAGGGGCAUGCCUGUUCGAGCGUCAUUAUAACCCCUCAAGCUCAGCUUGGUGUUGGGGCCUGCUGCACUGGCAGCCCUUAAAAUCAGUGGCGGCGCCAUCUGGCUCUAAGCGUAGUAAUUCUUCUCGCUAUGGAGUCCUGGUGGAUGCUUGCCAUCAACCCCCAAUUUUUCUAUGGUUGACCUCGGAUCAGGUAGGGAUACCCGCUGAACUUAAGCAUAUCAAAAGCGGAGGA